Molecule: ribosomal RNA, 254 nt
Filed under: uncultured soil bacterium
Lineage: Bacteria
Description: partial 16S ribosomal RNA
Rfam family: Bacterial small subunit ribosomal RNA
Source: RNAcentral
AGGACGAACGCUGGCGGCGUGCUUAACACAUGCAAGUCGAGCGGUAAGGCCUUUCGGGGUACACGAGCGGCGAACGGGUGAGUAACACGUGGGUGAUCUGCCCUGCACUUCGGGAUAAGCCUGGGAAACUGGGUCUAAUACCGGAUAUGACUUCAGGUUGCAUGACUUGGGGUGGAAAGAUUUAUCGGUGCAGGAUGGGCCCGCGGCCUAUCAGCUUGUGGUGGGGUAAUGGCCUACGAAGGCGACGACGGGUA